UACGGGGGGAGCAAACGUUGUUCGGAAUCACUGGGCGUAAAGGGCGUGUAGGCGGCUGGAUAAGUGGGAUGUUAAAUCCCCCGGCUCAACCGGGGACCUGCAUCUCAUACUGUUCAGCUCGAGCACAUCAGAGGAGACUGGAAUUCCCGGUGUAGCGGUGAAAUGCGUAGAUAUCGGAAGGAACAUCAGUGGCGAAAGCGACUUCCUGGACCAAUACUGACGCUCAUGUGCGAAAGCGUGGGGAGCAAACAGG
RNAcentral lists this ribosomal RNA (253 nucleotides) under uncultured bacterium. Its description in RNAcentral is "partial 16S ribosomal RNA". It matches the Rfam family "Bacterial small subunit ribosomal RNA", at positions 524 to 776 of the family's 1533-position model. The record is from RNAcentral.